Molecule: ribosomal RNA, 468 nt
Filed under: uncultured bacterium
Lineage: Bacteria
Description: partial 16S ribosomal RNA
Rfam family: Bacterial small subunit ribosomal RNA
Source: RNAcentral
GACGAACGCUGGCGGCGUGCUUAACACAUGCAAGUCGAACGGAAAGGCCCUGCUUUUGUGGGGUGCUCGAGUGGCGAACGGGUGAGUAACACGUGAGUAACCUGCCCUUGACUUUGGGAUAACUUCAGGAAACUGGGGCUAAUACCGGAUAGGAGCUCCUGCUGCAUGGUGGGGGUUAGAAAGUUUCGGCGGUUGGGGAUGGACUCGCGGCUUAUCAGCUUGUUGGUGGGGUAGUGGCUUACCAAGGCUUUGACGGGUAGCCGGCCUGAGAGGGUGACCGGCGACAUUGGGACUGAGAUACGGCCCAGACUCCUACGGGAGGCAGCAGUGGGGAAUAUUGCACAAUGGGCGGAAGCCUGAUGCAGCAACGCCGCGUGCGGGAUGACGGCCUUCGGGUUGUAAACCGCUUUCGCCUGUGACGAAGCGUGAGUGACGGUAAUGGGUAAAGAAGCACCGGCUAACUACGUG